UACGUAGGGUGCAAGCGUUGUCCGGAAUUAUUGGGCGUAAAGAGCUCGUAGGCGGUUUGUUGCGUCGGCUGUGAAAUCCCGAGGCUCAACCUCGGGUCUGCAGUCGAUACGAGCAAACUAGAGUGUUGCAGGGGGAGACUGGAAUUCCUGGUGUAGCGGUGAAAUGCGCAGAUAUCAGGAGGAACACCGGUGGCGAAGGCGGGUCUCUGGGCAACAACUGACGCUGAGGCGCGAAAGCGUGGGGAGCAAACAGG
This 254-nucleotide ribosomal RNA is filed under the name uncultured bacterium. Its description in RNAcentral is "partial 16S ribosomal RNA". It matches the Rfam family "Bacterial small subunit ribosomal RNA", at positions 524 to 776 of the family's 1533-position model. The record is from RNAcentral.